Impatiens glandulifera is the source of this 1811-nucleotide RNA transcript. RefSeq lists it as uncharacterized. The transcript is spliced from 16 exons. NCBI's taxonomy places the organism in Eukaryota, Viridiplantae, Streptophyta, Magnoliopsida, Ericales, Balsaminaceae. The record is from RefSeq and is a predicted model, not a curated record.
UAGGCGUGGUUGUGUUAAACAUCCCUGCCCUAACUGAGAGUCGCCGGUAAUUCGAAAAUCACGAAAACCAAAAGCUUCAAUUUCGGCAUGCAGCGAUCAUCGCCUGCAAUUUCUUAUUGAUUGACCCUUUUCAAUCCCAAAUCCAAACCCAGAAGAUAGGAUGACGACAAGAACCAACUUUUACAAAAACCCUUCACGAGCAUACAACAAGGCCUUCAAUCUCAAUUCUGCUCUUCAAAAUCUGAAGGCUUAUAAUGAUGCCACCGGAAAUGCUCCUGUCACCGGAGACGCCACCGAGAAUGGAAACGUUGAAAAGGAAGUAAACCGUAAACGCCCAAGGGAAAGGAAACCACAGUCACGAACUGAAAGGAAUGACAACGUCAUUGAGGAUGAUCAUCCAAUGUCUCAUCAGGAAUAUGUUGACAAAAUAAGGAAAGAGUUGAAUUGUUCUCUCAAGCGUGAAGAAUUAAACGUUGAUGUAUUGACAAAUUCACGUCAGGGAUUAGCUUUGGUGCAGUAUGAGAGCGAUCAAAGUAGCUCACCAGAGUGUGAUGAGAAGGCAGGGCCGUCUCGUUUUGAUGUGGUUCCAAGUUCUGGUAAUGUGAAUAAAGAUGAGGUUAAAAGAAGAAGUGAAGAGCAGCGUUUUGCUGUUCCUGGGGAACCUGUUUGCGUAAUAUGUGGGAAAUAUGGAGAAUAUAUCUGUGAUGAGACUGAUGAUGACAUCUGCAGCAUGGAUUGUAAAGCUGAGGUUUUGGGAAAUCUUAAACUUAGUCAGGGAUGCUUAAACAACCAGAAACCGUGUGAAUCCUCAUCCUCAUCCAUAGAUGAUUUUUCAAGAGUGAUUGAACUUGGAGGGGACAUGUGGGAUCAUGAGCGUUUUCGUUGGUCCAGAAAGAGGUCUAGCCUAUGCACUUAUGAAUGCUGGAAAUGUCAAAAACCGAGCCAUCUUGCUGAAGACUGUUUGGCAGUAACAACAGGAGAAAGAAGAGCAACUCCAAUACCAAGAUCCCUUCUUGAUCUGUAUAAAAGAUGUCACCAAAUUGGAAAAAGUGUGUCAGGGACAAAAUGCAACUCGUGCAACUUGUCAUCUUCAUUAGCCACUUGCCUCGGUUGCAAUGUCACAUUUUGUGAUAGUGCAGGUCAUUUGAGAGAGCACAUCAGGGUGAACCCUUCUCACGGAGAAUAUUACUCCUUUAAGCUCAAACGACUGGUUAAAUGCUGCAAAUCUUCAUGCAAGGUGACGGAUAUUAAGACUCUCUUGGCUUGUCACUUCUGCUUUGAUAAAGCUUUUGAAAAGUUCUAUGAUAUGUACACUGCAACUUGGAAUGGAGCUGCACUUUCAAUCAUCUGGGGUUCCAUUUGCUGUGAAGGUCACUUUGAAUGGCACAGGAUGAAUUGCUUGAAUGCAGGUAUAGAAGACAACUCUUACAUAAUCAACAAGGCUGCGACUGUUCAAGUCAGCGACUUCAUCUUCUGACAAUAAUCAAUCAAGCAAUGCCAACUACUGAAAGCGAUUCGAUUCAUCCAAUCCAACCAACCAUCUGAUUUGUCACCGUUGGAUUCAAUAGCAGCAUCUUGACGACGAACCGCUGAGAUUACGCCAAGGUUCAGUUCUGGUGCAGACUGUCCCACAAAGAUGAACACUCUCGUCUUGCAAAUCCGACCCUUCGUUUUUUGAGAUCAUAAACAACCUCAAAUCCCUGCUGUUGAUAAUUCCCAAGUGUCCCCACUGGCCCUCCUUCAUCUUCAUCGUCACCAUCACCGCCGUUCAUCAACAUCAGACAUCCUACCUUCCUCUUACGUUUCCCAUC